GGGUGUGACUCAGUGGGAGAGCAUCUGCUUUGCAUGCAGAAGGUCGCUGGUUUGAUCUCCAGUUAAAAUGGCCCA
RNAcentral lists this transfer RNA (75 nucleotides) under Sphaerodactylus townsendi. RNAcentral describes it as "tRNA-Ala". The stretch from base 4 to 65 matches the Rfam family "tRNA", at positions 6 to 65 of the family's 71-position model. Rfam says of the family: Transfer RNA (tRNA) molecules are approximately 80 nucleotides in length. Their secondary structure includes four short double-helical elements and three loops (D, anti-codon, and T loops). Lineage: Eukaryota; Metazoa; Chordata; Lepidosauria; Squamata; Sphaerodactylidae. The record is from RNAcentral.